GUUUGGGUCAGCUUCUUCAGUGCCUCCUUUAGCUCCUUGUUCCUCAUGAUGUAGAUGAGGGUUUCACUGCUGGAGGCAACACUGAGUACAGAAC
This is a long non-coding RNA of Cygnus olor (mute swan), 94 nucleotides long. RefSeq lists it as uncharacterized. The transcript is spliced from 3 exons. The record is from RefSeq and is a predicted model, not a curated record. Lineage: Eukaryota; Metazoa; Chordata; Aves; Anseriformes; Anatidae.